GCCUUGAUCCAAUUGCUCCUGCUGGUCCUGCCGAUCUUACUUGCUUCCAAGGCUCUGAUCUUGAUCACCGAAGUAAUGCCCACUGUCUAAUCUCGAUCAUCGAUUAUCGACACACAAGCAUUCAAGGCCACACAUACACAAAGCAAACAAAGCUACAAUUAGAACAGUACACCAACAGUAAAUAAAUUUAAAUAAAAGUUUCCAAAAUCAUCUACACGUUGCUACGAUCACGUCAAUGAGAAAUUCACGGAAAACGGAGUUACGACAUGAAAUCUACGCAUUAAACGGGACUGCGAAGGCUAUCUACGGACUUGUAUUUAACUAGGAAAUCUAACAGUGGUGAACCUAGAAAACAAUGGUACCAACGCGAAGCUUAUGAAAUUAUAAAAGUAAAGCAACUUGAACGGAUCGAAUCGGAGCUAAAACAGAGAAGAUAUGAAUUUUCUAAGAUUUUCUUUAGAAAAGUAAUUAAUUAAAUAGGAUCACAAAAUUAAAAUAUUUCAAACUGAUGAACCAAGAUUACUAACAUGUAGAUCUCGCGAAAACGAAUCUAACGCAAUUUGAACGGGUCAAAUCGGAGCUAAAACGAAUAUUUUAUGGCCAAAACAUUGCAGUGGCAAUUCUGUAAUUAAUUUGAAGUCGAAAAUGAAAUUUAAAUCAAAUUUCAAUCUGGAUAUGGAGUUGGCUGAGGACUGCGGGUUCUAUAUCUAUGAAGUCGAGGGGCUCUUUAAUAAAAAUCCCCGCGAAGGGGUAAGUUCUAAUCAUGGUCGUUGGAUCAAGCUUGGAUGCGCAUGAUUAAAAGAAAAAAAAGAAAAAGAGAGAGAGAGAGGGAGGGGGCGGUUGGAGGAAGAAGAAGUUGCUGACGGGUGGGUCCCACAUGGAGAGAGAGAAAGGGAAAGGAGAAGGCGGGCUGGCAGUUGCUGCGCGAGUUGGGCCGGGCUGGAAUGAGAGAGAGGGGGAGGGAAUAGGAUUUUUCUUUUUAUUUUUCAAUAAAUUUUCAAAGCUCAUUUUUUAAAUUUGAAUUUGAAUAAAUUCUCUUUGCAAAACUUCACACAUCACAAAAAUGAAUGUUGCAGCAUGUAUGCAUC
RNAcentral lists this long non-coding RNA (1088 nucleotides) under Sorghum bicolor (sorghum). RNAcentral describes it as "long non-coding RNA (SBIC_LNC015580)". The record is from RNAcentral. Lineage: Eukaryota; Viridiplantae; Streptophyta; Magnoliopsida; Poales; Poaceae.